Molecule: long non-coding RNA, 149 nt
Organism: Catharus ustulatus (Swainson's thrush)
Lineage: Eukaryota; Metazoa; Chordata; Aves; Passeriformes; Turdidae
Exons: 2
Source: RefSeq, a predicted model, not a curated record
CGUGGUUUUGCUACCGUUGCCAUGGCGACACUUCCGGUGCGGCCAACCGGAAGUGGCGGCGCUGCCGGGAGGCGCCGCCGGAUUUCUCCGGACCCCUCCCCCACACCAAAGGCUGGAACCCCCUCCAGGAGCUGCAAAAAUUCCCCAAA